Molecule: ribosomal RNA, 392 nt
Filed under: Axis axis (chital)
Lineage: Eukaryota; Metazoa; Chordata; Mammalia; Artiodactyla; Cervidae
Description: partial 16S ribosomal RNA
Rfam family: Bacterial large subunit ribosomal RNA
Source: RNAcentral
AAAUUGACCUUCCCGUGAAGAGGCGGGAAUACAUUAAUAAGACGAGAAGACCCUAUGGAGCUUUAACUACUUGACCCAAAGAAAUAAAUUUCAUCGCUAAGGAAACAACAACACUCUUCAUGGGCCAACAGCUUUGGUUGGGGUGACCUCGGAGAACAAGAAAUCCUCCGAGCGAUUUUAAAGACUAGACCUACAAGUCGAAUCACACAAUCGUUUAUUGAUCCAAAAAAUUGAUCAACGGAACAAGUUACCCUAGGGAUAACAGCGCAAUCCUAUUCAAGAGUCCAUAUCGACAAUAGGGUUUACGACCUCGAUGUUGGAUCAGGACAUCCCGAUGGUGCAACCGCUAUCAAAGGUUCGUUUGUUCAACGAUUAAAGUCCUACGUGAUCUG